CCAAGUGGUACGUGUUUAAUAUCGCCCGUGAAUGACGACAAACCAAUUUUAAAAACUCAAGAAAUGUGGGAAAGACGACUCUUGAAAUAUAUGGAUUUACACUCGGGAUUUACAAAGGUAAAAAAGUAUUUUCAUAUUCAAUUUAGACUUAUAUCUUAUUUGACAUCUAUUAUCAGACUAUUUUUAAAAGAGGGAAUUAGGUUUUGUGUUAUGCAGUCCACUUAUGUAUAAGCUGGCUGCUGGAAGCCGAUCUGGGAAGGUAGUUUCUACCUAGCUUUCUUGCAUGGUUGGGGAUACUUCUUCAUUUUUGUGUCAUAUAAAUCUCGAUAUAAAUAGUAAUAUAGAGGCUUGAGAUAAAUCACACUUCUCCCUAAGCUGAGGUAAUAAGGUUUAGCUGAGGUAUGUGCCAAGGCAUACAUGUGUGAUCACACCUCAUUCCCAUGAUGGCCUGUUUUCUUACAAGUUUUCUCAGUAAAUAUCACUCUGAAUAAAUAAUGUACUUUUAUAUUAAGUACACUCAUAGUUCUGAUACCCCUGGUUUAAGCUGAGGAGUAUGUUAGGUCACAUUCUUUUGUUUACCUUGAUCAUACGCUAUAAUUAUGUUACUGGUGGAUUCUUGUACAACCUGUAUAAUUCAUCUAUUCUUUUUUAUUGCAGAUUUAUUCCACAAGCACACACUCCUUUCUGGGUGGCAAAAUACGGUACCAAGCCACAUCUUUGGAAACUGAACAUACUGUAUUUUACAUGCUUCCAGAAAUUAUGUCACC
Molecule: long non-coding RNA, 767 nt
Filed under: Paramuricea clavata
Lineage: Eukaryota; Metazoa; Cnidaria; Anthozoa; Malacalcyonacea; Plexauridae
Source: RNAcentral